RNAcentral lists this transfer RNA (85 nucleotides) under Lacipirellula limnantheis. Its description in RNAcentral is "Planctomycetes bacterium I41 tRNA-Leu". It matches the Rfam family "tRNA". Rfam says of the family: Transfer RNA (tRNA) molecules are approximately 80 nucleotides in length. Their secondary structure includes four short double-helical elements and three loops (D, anti-codon, and T loops). Lineage: Bacteria; Pseudomonadati; Planctomycetota; Planctomycetia; Pirellulales; Lacipirellulaceae. The record is from RNAcentral.
GGGCUCGUGGCGGAAUUGGCAGACGCGCAAGGUUGAGGGCCUUGUGCCCGCAAGGGCGUGCUGGUUCGACUCCAGUCGGGCCCAC